RNAcentral lists this ribosomal RNA (468 nucleotides) under uncultured bacterium. RNAcentral describes it as "partial 16S ribosomal RNA". It matches the Rfam family "Bacterial small subunit ribosomal RNA", at positions 28 to 507 of the family's 1533-position model. The record is from RNAcentral.
GACGAACGCUGGCGGCGUGCUUAACACAUGCAAGUCGAACGGAAAGGCCCUGCCUUUGUUGGGUGCUCGAGUGGCGAACGGGUGAGUAACACGUGAGUAACCUGCCCUUGACUUUGGGAUAACUUCAGGAAACUGGGGCUAAUACCGGAUAAGAGCUCCUGCUGCAUGGCGGGGGCUGGAAAGUUUCGACGGUUGGGCUUGCACACGCGGCUUAUCUGCUUUAUGGUGUGGUAGUGGCUUACCAAGGCGUUGACGGGUAGCCGGCCUGAGAGUGUGACCGGCCACAGUGGGACUGAGAUAGCAGCCAGACUGCUACGGGAGGCAGCAGUGGGAAAUAUUGCAAGAUGGGCGGAAGGCUGAUGCAGCAACGUCGGGUCGGGGAGGACGGCUUUCGGGGUGUAAACCGCUUUCGCCUGUGACGAAGCGUGAGUGACGGUAAUGGAUAAAGAAGCAACGGCUAACUACGUG